RNAcentral lists this ribosomal RNA (479 nucleotides) under Clostridioides difficile. Its description in RNAcentral is "bacterial LSU rRNA". It matches the Rfam family "Bacterial large subunit ribosomal RNA", at positions 1 to 481 of the family's 2925-position model. Lineage: Bacteria; Bacillati; Bacillota; Clostridia; Peptostreptococcales; Peptostreptococcaceae. The record is from RNAcentral.
UGGUCAAGUUAUUAAGGGUGCAGGGCGGAUGCCUUGGCACUAGGAGCCGAUGAAGGACGUGAUAAGCUGCGAUAAGCUUCGGGGAGUUGCACGUAAACUUUGAUCCGAAGAUUUCCGAAUGAGGAAACUCACUUAGAGUAAUGUCUAAGUAUCAUUAAGUGAAUACAUAGCUUAAUGAGGGGAACUCAGGGAACUGAAACAUCUAAGUACCUGAAGGAAGAGAAAGAAAUUCGAUUCCGUAAGUAGCGGCGAGCGAACGCGGAUUAGCCCAAACCAAUAAAGUUUUCUUUAUUGGGGUUGCGGACAUAUCAUAACGAAGAGGUAUCGUAAUUGAAGAGGUUUGGAAAGACCCACCACAGAAGGUAAUAGUCCUGUAUGUUAAACGAGAAGACUUCAGAUAUGAUCCAGAGUACCACGGGACACGUGAAACCCUGUGGGAAGCAGGAGGGACCACCCUCCAAGGCUAAAUACUACCUAGU